This is a long non-coding RNA of Plodia interpunctella (Indianmeal moth), 1968 nucleotides long. RefSeq lists it as uncharacterized. Lineage: Eukaryota; Metazoa; Arthropoda; Insecta; Lepidoptera; Pyralidae. The transcript is spliced from 3 exons. The record is from RefSeq and is a predicted model, not a curated record.
AAACCCAGAGCGGAAGCUGUCGUUUCUUUAACCUGAUACGGCAGCCGAUUAAGUUGAAUCGAUAAAAAGAAAGUUUAAAAGAAAAUUAAAAAAGUUUGGGAAUACAAUGGGUUUUAUAAAAUUCAGUUUUGUUGUGUCACACAAUAAAGGAUGGUUUGUACUCACGGCGAGCAGUCUUGCGGCAGGACACACUGGUGCGUGCGCUCGUCUCUCACAUAAGGCUCCUCGCACACGCAGCCGGGCUCACAGUAGGGGUAGCACGGCCGCAGGUGGUUGCGAGGGUUGUCGCAGGAGACCUCGGCGCAGCCACCGAAGCAUGGCUCGAAAACCUCGUUAGGCCAGUAGCAAGCUGAUCAGGGUGAAGAUUUAUAAGUAAAAAAAAACACGGCAGUUGCCAUGGCGACGGCUCGGCGUCGGAAGAGAAUGUCGCGACGGAGGGGCUGUCGUAUCUGAUAAUUGACUGCAACUAGUGGUGACAUGAAAGGAAGCUACGGACUCUAUUCAGUGCACAAUGUAAUCUAUACAACUUGCUGAAAAUCGUACUGUAUUUUCAAGGAACAUAAUAUUAAAGUCGGUGGUGGAAGAGCUGUUUGGAACUAAAUGGUUUGAAUCAAUUGCAAUCUAGAUAAGUAAAGUAGACUUCUUUUUUGUUUAAAUAGAUUGGUUAAUAACUAUAUCAAAGUAAUGAGAGACAUAUGGCAGACCAAAAUAUAGGAAAAAAAAAUUUUUCUCUUUAUUAGGUCAAAACAAAUAGUUUCACACUCAAAAUAUAAACUACUUUAUUUAGUUACGCUAUUUAUAAAUGUUCGAGUAAACGAAAAAUAAUGUUCAUUAUUCUGUUAUAAAAUAAGUACAUAUUUGUCCGUUUCGAAAUCAAUACAUGACAUGUUUAUUUUUAUUUCUCAAAAGAAAAAUAAAUAAACUAAGUAAACCAUUACAGAAAUAUGGAAAUCGUAUAUUUGGCCGAAUUGUUCCCUUGUUUAAAGUUACAGAAAAAAAUUUGGCUGUGAUGGGUGUGUAGUGAAAAAGUUGGCUCCGACUUGAUAGUUUAUCUUUUUUAUUUAUUCGCCGAGUAUUCGCUUUGAAUUCAUCAACAAUGGGAAAAUUGUGAUUUUUCGAAUAACUUUUCUUAUUUUAACAUUUCCGUCUUUGAAAUUUAGUAGCCAUAUACCUAUAUUAUGUAAUUCGUAAUUAAACUUCUUUAUCUGCGAUUUGGAUGUCAGCAGUGAACUUUUUGACGUCAUUAAUUUAAAUAAAGAAUUUGAAUGAUUAAAAUAAAAAAUAACGAUCGCAAGAAAAUGGAAACCUCUCAUCACGUCAGAAUUUAAACCUCAGAGACACAUGUUCUUUUUUUCAGUGAAAAAGGGGGAUGAUUGCGUGUUUUGAGCAGUCAUAAGAGCUGUUAAUUGGAGGGCACUGGAUGUAAUUCAUUAUACUGAAGGGGCGCUAGCAUGAGAAAACAUAAAAUUAUUGUGUGAAUUUGUCACGUAUUUUUUGUGAGUUCCAUGAAAAAAAAUGUGGUUUAGAUUUAAUUAAUGGAGAUACGUCGUCGAACGAAAGUUCAAGUCGUUGGUCUCCAAAGUCGCGACAUUAAAAUGGAAUUGGGCUGGGCACCUGGCUAGAAGGAAUGAUGUAAGGUGGAGUAGAGCUGUAACUGAGUGGACCGGAAAACGGAGUAUAGGACAUCUGGCGAUGUAAAGGAAAUUGCUGGCAACGACUGGAUGGGGAUGGCCUAGGCCAGAUAUGGUUGGCGGAGAUGGAAGGAGGCCUAUGCCCAGCAGUGGGUCACGGAGGGAUGAUUUAAAAAUAUAUGUAAUAUGUAAAUGAAUGUGUUGCAUUAAAAAUGUAUUUGAAUUAUUUGUAGUCCACUUUACAAUCUGAAGUAAAUUAUCAUCGAUAAAAGCUAAAAUUACUGACAUUUUUAUACCAAGGUACACUUUACAUCUAAAUAUUCAUGUAAAUUGCCCC